Molecule: unclassified non-coding RNA, 344 nt
Filed under: soil metagenome
Description: partial contains 5.8S ribosomal RNA, internal transcribed spacer 2, and large subunit ribosomal RNA
Rfam family: 5.8S ribosomal RNA (bases 1-120)
Source: RNAcentral
GAUGAAGAACGUAGCGAAAUGCGAUAAGUAAUGUGAAUUGCAGAAUUCAGUGAAUCAUCGAAUCUUUGAACGCACAUUGCGCCCGCCAGUAUUCUGGCGGGCAUGCCUGUUCGAGCGUCAUUGCUGCCCUCAAGCACGGCUUGUGUGUUGGGCCCCGUCCCCUCCCCCGGGGACGGGCCCGAAAGGCAGCGGCGGCACCGCGUCCGAUCCUCGAGCGUAUGGGGCUUUGUCACCCGCUCUGUAGGCCCGGCCGGCGCCAGCCGACACCCAACUUUUAUUUCUAAGGUUGACCUCGGAUCAGGUAGGGAUACCCGCUGAACUUAAGCAUAUCAAUAAGCGGAGGA